Molecule: ribosomal RNA, 468 nt
Filed under: uncultured bacterium
Lineage: Bacteria
Description: partial 16S ribosomal RNA
Rfam family: Bacterial small subunit ribosomal RNA
Source: RNAcentral
GACGAACGCUGGCGGCGUGCUUAACACAUGCAAGUCGAACGGAAAGACCCUGCUUUUGUGCGGUGCUCGAGUGGCGCACGGGUGAGUAACACGUGAGUAACCUGCCCUUGACUUUGUGAUAACUUCAGGAAACUGGGGCUAAUACCGGAUAGGAGCUCCUGCUGCGUGGUGGGGGUUGGAAAGUUUCGGCGGUUGGGGAUGGACUCGCGGCUUAUCAGCUUGUUUGUGGGGUAGUGGCUUACCAAGGCUUUGACGGCUAGCCGGCCUGAGAGGGUGACCGGCCACAUUGGGACUGAGAUACGGACCAGACUCCUACGGGAGGCAGCAGUGGGGAAUAUUGCACAAUGGGCGGAAGCCUGAUGCAGAAACGCCGCGUGCGGGAUGACGGCUUUCGGGUGGUAAACCGAUUUCGCCUGUGACGAAGCGGGAGUGACGGUAAUGGGUAAAGAAGCACCGGCUAACUACGUG